CAGAAGAUUAAAUCUCUGACUUCAAGGUGU
This 30-nucleotide non-coding RNA is filed under the name Mus musculus (house mouse). Lineage: Eukaryota; Metazoa; Chordata; Mammalia; Rodentia; Muridae. The record is from RNAcentral.